CUUGCUAGAGUGAUAUGGGACUAUUGCAUGAGACCAAGAGAUUUCUAACGAAGAAUUUCGAAAUGAAAGAUCUUGGGGAAGCUUCUUUUGCAUUAGGUAUUCGGAUACUGAGAGAUUAUGAUACCUCUAUAGCUAUAGGAGACAAGUUUAGUCUCGAACAGUGCCCCAACAAUGACCUUGAAAGAUACUAGAUGCAAAAGAUUCCUUAUGCAUCUAGAGUAGGAAGUCUAUUGUAUGCUCAAGUUUGCACACGUCCCGACAUAACAUUUGUUGUGGGAGUUUUGGGCAGAUAUUUGAGUAGUCUUGGAAUGCAUCAUUGGAAGGCAGUCAAACGUGUUAUGCAUUACUUGAAGAGAAUAAAGGAGUACAUGCUCACUUAUUGGAGGUUUGAGAAUUUAGAGAUUAUUGGGUACUCAGACUCUGAUUUGUUGGAUGUCUAGAUAGUAGACACUCCACCUCUAGAUAUGUGUUUGUAUUGGCUGGAGGUGCUAUCUCUUGGAAGUCUACGAAACAUACGCUUAUAGCUCCUUCAACCAUGGCUGUGAAGUUCAUGACUUGUUUUGAAACAUCAGACCAUGGCAUAUAGUUGCGAAAUUUUGUUACUAGCUUACAUGUGGUCGAUGAUAUUGAAAGACCAUUGAGGACUUAUUGUGACAACAAUCCGCGGUUCUUUACUCCAACAACAAUAGAAGUUCUACAAAGUCAAAAUUCAUUGAGAUAAUGUUUCUGGUUGUUAAAGAAAUUGGUCAAAAUGGACAAGUUUCCAUAGAACAUAUAGGGACAAAUUUUAUGCUAGCUGAUCCACUGACUAAAGUUUUGGUACCUAAAGUCUUUCAUGAGCAUGUUGCUCAUAUGGGUGUUGUUCCUUAGGGUACCUUAGUUCAGUGGGAGUCUAUAUGUUUUAUAAUUUACUUUAGAUAUUAUAUACAGUUUUUUAUGCAGAUAAAGUUGAUGGUUUAUCGUUCCAUUUUGAAAUUGUGCAUUGUAACUAUUGUGUUGCAAUUAAAGACUUUGGAAUGAUCUUACUAAUGAAUAAAGAAGGACCAGUUGGAAAUAGACGUGUUUGAGAUCACAUUGUAUGAAAUUUCCAUGUCACUCAUCCAUAUUUGAUAUUUGUCAUUUAGUAUAUUGGUAUGGUGAUCAUCGUGGUUAAGUCACGUUUGAAUGUGAUGGAAGUCGCGGUGGUUCCAUAGUUGAUAUAUGAGAUGGACCAGAUUGUAUUAAGUUGAAGUCUAAAUAUAAAUAGCAUACAGAUGCGCACCUAAAGAAUAUGUGAUAUAAUUGUUCCAAGAAAAAUAUGAAGCCCAAGUGGGAGAUUGUUAUAAAUUCAUCUAUAUUGUAAGGAAAUAGUAGGUCAUGAACAACCCUUAGAAACAACCCUUAACUACCUAUGCAACAACUAUAUUGUAGCCAUAUUGUGGGUAAAACAACCCAUAGAAAUUUCUAGAAAGAAACCCUUAAAAUACUUUCAAUAGCCCCCCUCAAGAUGGAGAGUAAAUGUUAAUAACUCCAGCUUGAUAUCUUGAUUUGAAACCAUAAAAAUGCGAUGGAUCAGAAUCUCGAUCCUAAUGUGAUUGGAUUCCAAAUCACCUGGUUAUAUUCUUGGUCUGAAAUCUUGACUAUAUUUUCAUGGAAUCUCAUGUAUCUACAUUGUUAGAGCUUCAUAGUUGUUAAAUACACACUAUGAUGAAGUUGUGUGUGUGAGGAAGAGAUUGGUAGAGUAUGAAAUAAUAUAUCUUUUAACAAAUUCAAUAACGUACUUUUCAGCUUCCUUUUCACUAAUUGUACUUCCAAGCACCUUUUUUUUCCAACCCACUAGCUUCAUGGUGACUUUAAUCUUAUUCAUCUUCUCCAUCGUAAUUUUCUCUUGGAGUGAAGCAAUCUCUACAUCUUUGUGUGAAGAAGAUUUUGCUCCUGACUUUGACACGAUUUUGAUGAAGACACAAACAUCACAUAAAGAAGAAAAGGAACAAUAUUAAUGAAGAUUAUGAAGAUAAAGCUUCAAGAAAUUAGAGUCUAAAGUCUAUAGGUACUUAUAUCCUUAUACUCUAUAAUAUACAAUUACUAGUAAUGCUCAAAAGUAUUUUAAAAGAAAAUUGAAAACUACAAGUAUAAAUGAAAACAAUUUUCAAAAUACUGUGUAAGAGGUUACUAGAUCUAAGUAAUAGGUUAUUGGAUCUAAGUAACAGGUUACCAGAACUAAGUAACAAGUUACAUGAGUGAGAAACGAGUUACCCAACAAAAACUGAACAAGGUAAUCGAUUACACUCAUUUGAGUAACCGAUUACACAUUGUAGUAAUCAAGUGCUCAGUUGAACAGAAAGUUUGGGUAAUCGAUUACAUCCUGUGGGUAACUGAUUACACAGUGUGAUAAUCAGUUAUUCAGUUGGACAUAAUAUUUGGGUAAUCGAUUACAUCCUUUGGGUAAUCGAUUACAAAGUGUGAUAAUCAAUUACUCAGUUGGACAGAAUGUUUGCAUAAUCGAUUACGUCAAUGCUGUAAUCGAUUACUGAGAGUUGUUGCACCAGUUUUCAUAUUCAAAAUGCACAACUUUCACCCCAAACGAAAUGGUUUCAUUCCAAUUGAAUCCUACCUUUUAAUAAAGGUGUUAUGGCUGGUUGGAAAACCUAUUUAAAGGCAUUGAAACUCGUAAUUCACUACACAACUCAUAUACACAAUCUAAACUUUUUCUGAAAUACUUUCUGCAACUUAUUCUUAAACUUUCAGAUAAAAUUUUCUGAAGUUGCCUUAAGUGUGGUUUCAAAGUUUCUCAAACCUUCUGAGCAUUAUUAUUAAGUGUAUACAAAGAGUUACUGGAUUGCAAGAAAUCAUUGUGUAAAAUCUUGUAAAGGCAAUCCUUGUCAUAGUUAAAGUUUUCUUGAUUCAAAGUGUUGAAUUACUUUCUUUCACAAGGGUGUGGUAAGAAAGGGGAUAAUGUCACUCGGAAAUGUUAUUUUCCAAAGAGUGACAUAGGUAUUAGAGAGUGAGUAAGGUACAAGGAAAUCUCAGGGUGAAAAUUUGUAACUGCUACUCUUAAUAUCUAGUAAAGAAAUCUCUUAUGUUGUAAGAGUACUGGACGUAACCUUCAAUGGACAAGAAGGUGAACUAAUAUAAAAAUCUUCGAGUAAUCUCUUCUUCCUUAUCUCCUUAAAUUUAUUUGAUAUUUUGUUGCAUAACUUUUUCUGCUGCUACUAACUCCAAUAAUUACAGAAAAAUCUGACAUAGAUUUAAGACAACUAAUUCACCCUCCCUCUUAGUUGCUAUCUCAAUCUUAUAAUUGGCACCAUAGCUUUUUUUUGAGUAAAUUAUUCUCAAAACUGAUCUUGUAUCUAAGAUGGUCUGAAGAUCAUUUCUGGGAGAAGGUUCCAACAUCAGCCGCCCUCCAAGUUUUGUUGGAGAAUGCUAUGACUUCUGGAAAAUCAGAAUGAGAAUCUUUAUAGAAUCUCAAGAUCUGGAUAUUUGGAAUGCGAUUGAAGAAAGACCCUAUGAACCCUUCACCAUUGUCAAUAGUGUAAGGGAAGUAAAGCCAAAAUCUUCAUGGAAUCAUGAAGACCAAAAUAAGGUGCAAUACGAUCUCAAAUCAAAGAACAUCCUCACUUCAACACUUGGCAUCAAUGAAUUCUUUAGAGUAUCGAACUGAAAAUCUACUAAAGAAAUGUGGGAUACUCUAGAGACUACACACGAAGGAACUGAGGAAGUCAAAAGGUCGAUACUCAACACGCUCUCCCAUGAAUACAAAAUGUUUCAUAUGAAGCCUAGAAUGAAAAUACUAGAUUUACAAAAGAGAUUUACUCACCUUAAAAAUCUUCUUAUUGCACUUGGAAAAAACAUAUCAAAUAGUGACUUGAACUUAAACGUUCUAAGAUCACUCACCAAAACAUGGCAACCAAAAGUAACAUCCAUUUCUGAAAAUAAAAGUUUAUAAAAAAUGUCCUUGGCUGCUUUAUUUGGUAAAUUGCAGGAACACAAAUUGCAACUCAGCCAACUUGAACAACAUGAAAUGCAAGAAAAGAAGAAGAAAACUAUAUCUGUCAAAGCAAAGGCAGAUAGAUAUGAGUCAUCAAGAGAUGAAUCAGAAAAAUAAAGAGAUGGAAGACAUAAGUCUUUUUGUAAAGAAGUUUAGCAAGUUCCUUAAAAGGAACAAAGGCGCUAAAACUAGACAAAUGAAGAAAUUCACCAAGAAUAAUGACGCAUCCACUUCAUACCAAAACUUCACAUGUUUUGAAUGUGGUAAGCCCGGUCACAUGAAGAUGGAUUGUCCAAAACUAAAAAAUAAUUCCUUCAAAGGGAAAAAUGAAAUGAGGACUAGACGAAGAGCCUACAUACCUUGUGAAGACAAUGAUACCAGUUCUGCCACUAAAUCAGAAAAUGAAGAACAAGUACAUCUCUCACUAAUGGCAUCUCAUCACUGUGAUGAUGAAGAGGUAAAUGAAACUAUCAUAUUUUCUUCUUCUGAAUUAAAACUUGCAUUUAAUGACUUACAUGAUGAAUAUGUCAAACUCACUAAAUUGUUUUUGAAAAAACUAAGUUAGAAGUAUUCAUAAAUGAACCAUCAUCUUCUUCAUGUCAAAACUGCAUUACUCUUGAAAAGAAAGUUUCAACAUUAAAUCUUGAACUUAAUAAAUUAAACAAGAGUAGCAAAAAUCUGGACAAGAUAAUUAAAGAUCAGAGAUAUUCUACAGACCGAAUAGGUCUCGGCUAUUCUAACAGCCAAGUUUCUAAGAAACGAAAUGUCUCAACAAAAAUAAACUUUCAGAAACAAAGUAUCGAUGCAUUUAAUCGUAUUAACAAUAAAUCUAGGAUACAUAAGCAUCACCCCAUAUGUAAUUAUUGUAAGAACCAUGGUCAUACACCAAAUACUUACAUGAUUAGAAAAUAUAGUGUGCCCUUAGUUCACUAUAGAAGGGUUAAGAAAAGUGCUAACCAUGUAGGACCAAAAGAAAAUUAGGUACCUAAUACGAUUUAAUCUGUUUUGCCAGAUAAUUUGAGAGCCAUAUGCAAUCUAUGGUACUUGGAUAUCGGUUGCUCAAAGCACAUGACAGGCGACAAAGAUAAGUUCUUUGUCCUUACUUCAAGGGACAAAUGAUAUGUUAUAUAUGGUGACAACAACAAAGAAGACAUGCUUAGAGUUGGUAGAAUCGGCAAGCCACCUUCAACAACUAUAGAAGGAGUAUUGUAUAUCGAAGGACUCAAGCAUAACUUAUUGAGAAUAAGUGAACUAUGUGACAAAGGAUUUCAUGUGGAAUUCUAUCCUAAUAAGUGCAUCAUCGAAAUUAAGGAUUCUAAAAUCUCUAAACUAUGGUAAGAGGAUAAAUAAUAUAUAUAUGAUUGACAUAAAUUCUUCUUUACCAAUAAAAUGUUUAGUUGCUAAUAAUAAUCAUAAUGCAUGGCUUUGGCAUAGGAUAAUUGCUCAUAUUCCUAUGGAUCAUUUCAAUAAGCUGAUUAAGAAAGACUUAGUUGUCGGUUUACCCAAAAUAAAGUUUGUUAAAGACAAACUAUGUAGUGUGUGAAGAAGAUCUUGCUCCUGACCUUGGCACGAUUUUGAUGAAGACACUAACAUCACAUAAAAGAAGAAAAUGAAGAAUACUUAUGAAGACAAUGAAGAUAAAGUUUCAGGGAUUUAGAAUCUAAGUCUUUAGGUACUUCUAUCCUUAUACUCCAUUAUAUACAUAUAAUAGUAAUGCUCAAAAGUAUUUUAAAAUAAAAUUGAAAACCACAAGUAUAAAUGAAAGCAAUUUUCAAAAUAUUGUGUAACAGGUUACUGGAUCUAAGUAAUAGGUUAGGGUGACUAAAUAACAGGUUACUAGAACUAAGUAACAUGUUACAUGAGUGAGAAACGAGUUAUCCAAUAAAAAUUGAUCAGAUUAACCGAUUACACUCUUUUGAGUAACCGAUUACACAAUACGGUAAAAAACAUUACUCUGUUGGACAUAACAUUUGUGUAAUCGAUUACAACUUGUGAGUAAUCAAUUACAGCCUGUGAAAAUCAAUUACUUAGUUGGACAAAAAUUUUGGGUAAUCGAUUACAUCGGUUAGGUAUUCGAUUACUGAGAGUUGUUGCAAGAGUUUUUCAGAUUCAAACAACGCAGCUUUCAUCCCAAAUGAAAUGGUUUCAUUCCAAUCGAAUCCUACCUUUUCAUAGAGGUGUUAUGAUUGAUUGGAAUGCCUAUUUAAAGGCAUUAAAACUCAUAAUUCAUAAGAUAUAACUCACAUACACAAUCUAAACUAUUCUAAAAUACUUGCUCUACACUUUUUGCAACUUUUUCUUAACUUUCAGAGUAUAUUUUCUGAAUUUGCCUUAAGUGUUGUUUCAAAGUUAUUCAUACCUUCUGAGCAUUAGUACUAAAUUGUAUAAAGAUUUGUUGGAUUUUAAGAAUUCAUAGUUUCAAAUCUUGUAAAAGCAAUUCUUGCCAUAGUUAAAGUUUUCUGCAUUCGAAGUGUUGAAUUCCUUUCUUUCACAAGUCUGUGAUAAUAAAGGGGAUAGAGUCAUUUGCAAAGGUUAUUUUCUAAAGAGUGGUAUAAGUAUUAGAGAGUGAGUAAGAUACAAGGAAAUAUCGGGGUGAGAAUUUGUAAUUGCUACUCUUAAUAUCUAGUGAAGAAAUCUCUUGUACUACAAGAGUAUUGGACGUAGCCUUCGGUGGACAAUAAGGUGAACCAGUAUAAAAUCUUUGAGCAUUUUCUUCUCCCUUAAUUUCUUAAAUUUACUUGAUAUUUUCUACAUAACUUUUUCAGUGCUAUUAACUCUUGAAUUUUGCAGAAAAAUUUGUCAUACUUUUUAAACAACUAAUUCACCCCCCUCUCUUAGUUGUCAUCUCAGUGUUACAUAGUGUUUGUCAAAUGGAUAAACAAACAAAAGCCUCUUUCAAACCUAAACAUAUGGUUUCUUCCAAUAGACCAUUACAAUUACUACACAUGGACUUAUUUGGCCCCUCAAGGACCAAAAGUUAUGGUGGUAACUAUUAUGCUCUUGUUAUAGUAGACGAUUAUUCAAGAUAUACUUGGACUCUAUUCAUGGUUCAUAAGAAUGAGACAUUCAACGCCUUUAGCAAAUAAGCUAAAAGAGUUUAAAAUGAACAAUCACUGAAAAUCGCAGCUAUAAGAAAUGAUCAUGGGGAGAAUUUCAAAAUGCUUCUUUUGAAUAAUUCUAUGAUAAUCUUGGUAUCAAUCAUAAUUUUUCUGCUCCUAGAACACAACAACAAAAUGGUGUUGUAGAGAUAAAGAAUCGAUCCUUAGAAGAACUUGAAAGUGUAAUGUGUCAAGAGAGCACUUAAGCUUGCCUAUGUUUUGAUGAAGACAAAGGACUUAGUGACAGCUUAAAGACGAAUUCAAAAAAUCAACAUGCCAAAGAUUCAAGAGCUUCAUGUCUAGACUAGAGUCUUAGAUGUGUUUUAGUUAUUGAGUGUAGGUUAGGUAAACCUAGAUGCAAAUCUCACAAAGUCUAAAAACUAUCAUAUCGUUUACAUGAGACAUGCCAUCUAGUUUAUUAUAUGUUCAUACAUUAAUCAUACAUGUUAUUUGUGCAUUUUAGGCAUAACAUAAAGGUAAUACACGUAUAGUUGAUAAUCAUAAAAUAUAAGUAGUUUACCAAUUAAUAUCAUAACUGAAAAUAUGUCAGUUAAACGAUUAAGUGAAGCUUUAAUCGAUUAACAUGAAAACAAUGUUUAACAGUUUCAACAGAUAACUGAAAAACAGAAUUCAGUUUCUCUCUAACAACCUGUUAAUCGAUUAACAGUCAACAUAAUCGAUUCACUGGAUGCAAAACAACAUUUCUAUAUAAACUUUAUUUUUAACAGAUUUCAUAUACGAAUUAAUACAUUCAUUCAUAUUAGAAUUGCUAAGUUGCAUAUUUUCGUAUUCUUUGUAUGUCAUAUAGGCAGAGAGAAUUGCAUGUGAGAUUAGAGUGAGAUAAUAUUAUGCUUAGGGAUUAACAUAUCAUGCAUUGCAUAUUAUCAAAUGUGUUCAUCAUCCUAUCUUGUUCUUGCAUGAUUCUUUCAUUACUGUUUAGAGAUUUCUUAAGGGUAGAAAUUACAUGUUCUUCAUGAUUCUGAUCUUAUACAUGUUCAUUAAUUGACCGAUUUGUAUAGCGUUUAUAGCUUGUUCUUUCUUGUAAUAUUUGAGCUAUUUGUGCUUCACAUUACUCAGUUUUUUGUGUUGUUUGUGUAACAAGGAAAGUCGUCUCUUGGUGUCGUACCACCAACGAGAUCAGAGAGUCUUCACCAAGACUUGGAGGUCUUGAAUUUAGAACAUACUCUUGGCUGGGGCUGGAUCGUAGGAAAGGUUUUCCUAGGAGAUUGGGUAAGGUCAAACCAAGGUAGAGGUUCUGGGAAUUCAAGAAGGUAGUGUUCAAGGUCUUGUAAUUGGAAGUGUGUAUGUAAGAUACAUUAGCUUCAAUUUUAAUGAAGAAAAUCUCUCAGAUCAGAGGGGAGGACUGGAUGUAGUUUUGCAGUGGACCGCAAAACAAACCAGUAUAAAAUCCUUAUUGCAGGAUGUUUCUUUCCCUUGUCUCUUUACUAUUUUAAGUAGCUUUUAAUUGCUUAUUGUAGCUGAUAUUUUGAAUAUAAUAUUACUGCCAAAUAAAGAUCAUUUAUGUUCAAAUAUAUCUGGUAUAUCAUUUACGUAUAAUCUGUAAUUGGCUGUGUAAUUGAGCCAUUCAACAACUGCUAAUUUUGUGCGACUUAAUCGAUCAAGUCAUAGCUUUAAUCGAUUAACUAGGUGAUUUUCCAGAAUAGGGCUUUGGUGCAAAUAGCGGUAAGUGGGAACNNNNNNNNNNNNNNNNNNNNNNNNNNNNNNNNNNNNNNNNNNNNNNNNNNNNNNNNNNNNNNNNNNNNNNNNNNNNNNNNNNNNNNNNNNNNNNNNNNNNCUCUAGGUGUAUUAUGUCACUAAUACCAAACAGAACUUGCUUGUACAAUGUUGAAUGAAACUAAUCUCCUAAAAAUACUUUUAGGCUGAUGCAGUUAGUACAACAUGUUAUGUUUCAAACAUAGUUCUUAUAAGACCAAUUCUCAAGAAAACCCCCUAUGAACUCUUUAAAGGAAGAAAACCAAAUAUUUCUUAUUUGCAUGUAUUUGGUUGUAAAUGUUUUGUUUUAAAUAAUGGUAAAGACAAAUUAGGCAAGUUUGAUGCAAAAAUUGAUGAAGGACUCUUCCUAGGUUACUCUCUUAUGAGUAAAGCUUAUAGAAUUUUCAAUAAAAGAACUCUAGUCAAGGAAGAAUCUGUUCGUGUGUCUUUUGAUGAAAUCAAUCCUAUAAUAAAGGAUGGGUUAACUCUUGAUGGAGAGGACUUGUGAAGUUCCCAUUUAACAAAAGAGUCUUUUACCAAUGCAACAACUAAUACUCAGCAUUUGAAAAUGAAUGAUACUCUAUCUUAUCAAGAAGAGCAUAUUCAUUCUGAUUUACCAAAAUAAUGGAGAACUCAUCGAGAUCAUCCUAUUAACAACAUCAUUGGCGACAUAAGUAAGGGUGUCACUACCCGUUUAAAGCUAAAUGAUGCUUAUUUAAACAUGGCCUUCAUUUCUCAAAUAAAACCUUCCAAGAUUGAUGAUGCAAUCGAGGAUGAACAUUGGAUUCUUGCUAUACAGAAAUAUUAAACCAGUUUGAGAGAAAUGAAGUUUGGGAACUUAUUCCUAGACCGUAUGAUAAGCAUGUUAUAGGAACUCGUUGGGUAUUCCAAAAUAAAUCAGAUGAAAAUGGAAUUAUCGUUAGAAAUAAAGCUAGUCUGGUAGCACAAGGAUACAAUCAGGAAGAAGGAAUAGAUUUUGAUGAAACCUUCGCUCCUGUUGCUAGACUUGAAAUUAUUCAGUUAUUACUUGCAUAUGCUUGCUCUCUAAAUUUGUAGUUAUAUCAAAUGGACGUAAAGAGUGUAUUUCUUAAUGGCUAUAUACAAGAAGAAGUGUUUGUAGAACAACCUCUAGGUCUUGAAGACUACAAGCAUCUGUCUCAUGUAUAUAAACUAAAGAAAGCUCUCUAUGGUUUAAAGCAAACUCGUCACGCUUGGUAAAAUCGUCUAACCAAAUUUCUUCUUGUAAAAGGCUUUACCAAAGGAAAGGUCGACAAUAUAAUUUUUCUUAAGAAAAUAAAUCAUCAUACUCUUCUUGUUCAAAUAUAUGUAGAUAAUAUUAUUUUUGGUUCUACUCAUGAGAUUUUGUGUAGUGAUUUUGACAAAAUGAUGCAAGGGGAGUUUGAAAUGUCUAUGACGGGGAUGUUAAAUUACUUCCUUGGAUUACAAAUCAAACAACUCGAGGAUAAUAUUUUUGUAUGUCAGACCAAAUUCUGCAGAGACAUGCUGAAAAGAUUUCAAAGGAUGACUACAAGCUAAUUGCCACUCCUGUGGGUUCUAGUACAUACAUCGAUACAUAUGAAGCUGAAAAAUGCAUUGACAUAUCAAAAUAUUGAGGUAUGAUUGGUUCCCUGCUUUAUCUAACUUUCAGUAGACCUGAUAUAAUGUUUAAUGUCUGUUUGUAUGCACGUUAUUAAUCAAAACCAAGAGAAUCACAUUUAGUUGUUGUCAAAAGAAUCAUGAAAUAUCUAAAAAGCACAACUGACGAUAGAUUUUGGUAUCCAAAAGAAAGUAUCUGUGAUUUGGUAGGAUAUUCAUAUUCAAAUUUUGCUGGAUGCAAAACUGAGAGAAAAAGCACAAGUGGUACUUGUCAUAUAUUAGGAAAUUUACUAGUCUCAUGGUCAUGCAAGAAACAAGCUUGUGUUGUCCUAAGUACUGUUGAAACAUAAUAUAUAGCGGCAUGUAGUUGUUGUGCCCAAGUGUUGUGGCUUAAACAAAAAUUAUGAGAUUAUGGCUUAGACUUAGGCUGCAUUCCCCUAAAAUGUGACAAUACUAGUGCUAUAAAUCUCACAAAGAAUCUAGUAAUGCAUUCUAGAACCAAACACAUAGAUAUAAGACAUCACUUCCUUAGGGAUCAUGUCCAAAAUAAAGAUGUGUCUGUAGAAUUUGUUGAUACUCAUGACCAACUAGCAGAUAUUUUCACUAAACCUUUGACAAAAGAUCUUUUUUAUAAAAUCAGACGAGAAUUAGGCAUACUUGAUGAAGCUCACUUGUCUUAAAAUGUUUAUACAUGAUCAUAUGUUUGCUUCAUUAUGUUUAUCUAAUGCCUACUUGUACUUACUAUUGCUUAAUUUUGUUUAGAAUUUUCAUUUAUGGGGUAUAUAAUCGAUUACUUUAUGAAAAUAAUCAAUUAUCAGGCGUCAGUAUGCCUGAAAAUUCGAAAUUCUGGGGUCAGUAACCGAUUACUCUAGAGAGUAAUCGAUUACUGCAUCAGGUAGAAACUUUCAGUAAUCGAUUACCCAUAUGCAUAAUCGAUUACCUAAGGCUGCUGUUUGAAAUCUGGGAAUUUUCUAUGUUGAGUAACCGAUUACUCACUUUGAGUAACCGAUUACUCUGACCAGUAUUUAAGUUUUCCUCCUCGUUUUUCAAACACUUCUUCUUCUUCCUCAAACCUCUCUUUUCGUGUUUGCCCUAAUUUUCCUCUAAAAACCUCAAUUCCAUAAAUUUCGUGUUUAGUGGGCUAAACCAAAAAUAUCCAAAUCUCUCAAACCUCAAAAACCUAAUUUUUCAAUACUUCAAUCAAAUGGCUUCAUCAUCAAGAGCUAAAAAGCAACAUACCAGUUUGUCUCAAAAGAAGCAAGGUACUUCAUCUUUUGAAGCUAACCCUCUGGAUUUGGCAUGUCUUCUCGCCUAUGAUGAACAAUGCAAAGUUUUCUCAGAGCAUUUCCUUGGUCGAUCAAUAUUUCCUCCUAAGUAUGGCAAUGUAAGUAACUUUGAGUUUAAAGAUUUCCAUUUCCCUAUUCUACUUAGGCAAAAAGAUCUUUUUGAUUUCUGUGAGGAAUCAAAUGCCUACUAUCCUGAACUUUGGGAAGAAUCAUUUAACAUCCUAUGUGAAAGGAAAAUAAAUUAUUUUAGAUGUUAAAACCUUCAGUUCAAUAUGUUGUAAUAUACCUUACCAAGGAAGCAUAAAAGAUUUCGGUCUUGCAUAUGAAUGGGAUAACUAUAAUAGAAAAGAGUUCUACUACUCUAUGUGUAGAUUCUCUAAACGGGAAAUAAAAAUGCGUAAGCAACUGACUUUAUGUGAAACUGUAAAAAGUAGAGAUAUCCUCGCUAUAGGAAAUCUCAAUCUCAAAGAUCGUUUGCUUCAUUACUUUCUUAGCUAUGUCAUUCUUCCAAAAUUUUCAAAUCAUUCUCAAAUUAAUGACAUGGAUCUACAAUUGAUGUAUGCUCUUAAGCAUAACCUUUCAAGCAAUUGGGCUGUAACAGUAAUGAGACAAAUAUGGUAUGUACGAGAGACUCACAACCAUUUGCCUUAAGCAAUCUUCAUUACCAAAGUACUUGAGCAUUUUGGUGUAUCCACUACUAGUGAAUCAAAAGUCACACUUGAUGCAUGCGAUUGUAAGAUUGAUGUGGAUUUGAUCCACAAAAUGGGUUUCUUUCGAGAUCCCAUUGACAAAAUCUAUAAGCAUCGAAGUGAUAGACAAGCUGCACUUGUUGAUCCAAAUGUCUCUACUAACCCUCCUGAACAUCAACCUUCUGAUUUUCAUGAUGAGUCUUCUUCAUUUUCUGCCAUGCCUACUAAUCAGAUGAUCAUGGACAUGUUAUUCUCUCUUCGAGGCUAGAUCUCUAAUCGAAUGGAUGCUCUUGAUGCUCAAAAUCAACAAGUCCAAUUCGAACUUCAAAGUCUUUCUUAUAAGAUCAAUAGUAUGGACCUUGAUGACGAUAGCACUAAGUCUGAGUCUUAGAGUAUUUUUUUGUCUAGGAUUUCUAUCUAUAAUGAUUGCAUAAUUGUGAAGAAUUUGUUGUUGUAGUUUUUCUGGUUAUGUUUGAACAAUGUAUGACAAUUGUUUAAGUUGUAUGCUAUGUUACCUUUGUGUUUGCUAUAUACAUAUUGUAUGUGUGUUGGCCUCUUGGCCUUUCUUCUUUUGAUGAAGUCAAAAGGGGAGAAAAUUUGGGAGAAAAAUAUUUUCUGUUUAAACUUUUCUCAGGCACAACUUCAAAUCAAGGGGGGAGCAUACAAAAUAGGGGGAGCAUACUCAAGUCAAGUCAAAAUAUCACAAAAUAUGCUACUCUCAGAAAACUACGCCGUCAAGAAGAUAUUGAUUUGUCAUCAUCAAAAAGGGGGAGAUUGUGAAGAAUAUCUUGCUCCUAACCUUGACAUGGUUUUGAUGAAGACACCAACAUCACAUAAAGAAGAAAAGGAAGAAUACUUAUGAAGACUAUGAAGAUAAGUCUUCAAGGAAUUAGAGUCUAAAGUCUAUAGGUACUUCUAUCCUUAUACUCUAUAAUAUAAAAUUCCUACUAAUUCUAAAAAAUAUUUUAAAAGAAAAAUGAAAACUAAAGUAUAAAUGAAAACAAUUUUGAAAAUAUUGUGUAACAAGUUACUGGAUCUAAGUAACAGAUUACAUGAGUGAGAAACAAGUUAUCCAACAAAAACUGAACAAGGUAAUCGAUUACACCCAUUUGAGUAACUGAUUAUACAUUGUAAAGACAUUCUUAUAAAAUUAAGCAUUCUUAUAACUCAAUUUGUUUAUUUAUAAGACUUCUGAGCAGAAACUUCCCAACAUAAUCGAAUAUCUGAGUUGAGUUGUGACUAUGAUAGUCAUAUUGAGACACGUUAUGAUGAGUGCAAUUAUAAAAAUGGAAAGAUGCUAGGAAUAAGAUGCAUAUAAUUUUAAUUUAUAAUGAUAGAAGUCUAAACCAUCUAGAAAAUCCUUUUGAUUAUGAGAGGGAAAGACCCUUUGAAGAAAACAAUGAUUUUUUGUGAUGAAAAAGAACUUGAUCGCAUGCAACUUAUGGAGAUGACAAUAAUUCAUGUCAUGCCAAUAACGAUAAAAAAAAUCAAGUUAUUGGAAUUUUGUUGAGAAGUUAAGGAAAUAGGACUUGCAAGAGAAAAGCUUAGAUAUAUUACUCUAUGUGGUGUGCCUUUGCUGCCGAGCAAAGCUCACGAGGGCACUAAUAUUAUUCCAAGCAGAUUCUUGGAAUCUAAAGAUUAACAAGGUCAAUGACGUAUUUGACAUGUUAUAAAAGAUUAUGAUAUGGAGGAUUGAAAAUAACAUUGAUGGAGUCAUAGAUGAAUAUUUUAAUUUCGAAAAUGUUAGUUUCUAUUAAUUCUAACGGAUAGUGAUAUUCUAAGACUAUGUAGGAUUUUCCCGCAUAAUGAUAUACUGAUAUUCCCAUUGCUCAAUAACAUUUUUGUCCUUCUUGUAAAUUAUUCACCUAGAUUCUUAUAAAUUCAUCUUCAUUCAAUUCAUAAUUUCAAUUAUUCUUUACUUAACCAUAGUUCCACAUUUUCAUCAAUGAGAACAUAUUUUUAAAUCAUCUUUAAAAAUAUUUCUCCAAGGAGAAUUCACAAUUACUCAAUUAUCUGCAAAGAUUUAAUCGAUUAACUGUAACUUUAAUCGACUAAUUAUUUGCUAAAUAUACUUAGUUAAUAUUUCAUGAACCUCUAACAUAAUUAACUAAUCCAUGAUGCAUGAUUUUGAUAUGAUAUAAGUUCAACUUAAUUUAAUGCACAUAUAUGAAUGAAUAUCUCAUAUGCAUCAUGUUCAUCAUUCUAACAUGUGAGAUUAUUAUUAGGUUAAAAAUUAAAGAUAUUAAAAUGGAAUGUUUACUUUUUUAUUUUGCAUCAAGUUUAUGAUAUGCUUUCCUAAUAUAUCAUUUAUCAUCAUAUAAUUAAUGAUUUCUUUUACUACUAAAUUAAAUCAAAAGAAUAUUAAAUACGUUUACACUUGACAAAUAUUCAUACAUAUUGGUAUUGCAAUUCAUUCACUGUGCUAGAAGGGUUGUGAAUGAUGGUUGUUUGCGCAUAAGUUAGUUUUUGGAGAAAAUAAUUGUUAUGUAAAUGUUGGUGGUGCAAUCAUUUUGAUAUUAGAAUAUUUGAAGAUAUAAUUUAAAAAAAAACUUUAGAUUUGUGAAUGAUGAUUCUUUAAACCUCUGUUGAUUUUCUUGAAGAUUUAGCCUAUUCUUGCAAAAUAAGAAUCAUCUGAUGAACUUCUUAUUUUGGUUUAUAAAUGUAUAAAACAUGAUGAGAUUUUGGUUUAUAAAUGUAUAAAACAUGAUGAGAUUUUGAUUUCUUCCAUCAUAUAUAUAUAUAUAUAUAUAUAUAAUAAAACAAUUCAUAUCAAUGUAAUUAUUUCUUACAUUCUUUUACCUAAUUUUAAUCUUUUAUAAUUUGUCAAAUUUAUUUAAUUAGUACAUAAACACAUUUGCUUAAUAUAUACAAUAAUCAAUUAAAUAAAAACAAUUAAAAUUAAACAAAACCUUCCAAUGAUAAUAUGAGAUAUUAAGUAAGAUAAUUCUAAACAAGAAACUAAAACAAAAAAGCUCCAGUGCUAAUGAUCUGUGUUUUUAUCUUGGAUUCAUUUUGAAAUUAUGAUAAUUUAGUUGAGAAGUCCGUGAAAGUCUUCUUCUUUUAAGUGAGAAGUAAAUAUAAUAUCAACGGAGGAGUGCAAUAAAUAUAUGUAUAACUAUAUUAGUUAAGUUAGUGAAACACAAAUAGAUAUAUGAAGGGCAUUGCAUGCAAAACUUAUAAGGUUGAUUUUUUAUUAGCAAUAGAUCAAAGGUACAACUAUAGUUUUAUUUUGUCUCGUGGAUCAUUAUGACCUCUUACAUAAUAGUAGUUUUAAUAACAACUUAGUAAAGAGCGCUCAAAAUGGAAGAGAUGGGACCCCUUCUUCCACGUCUUCCCUCUUUCUCUCUUUGUUGUUGUUGUUGCUGAGGCUGAGCAUUUGCAAAGUAAGAUUGUUGUUGGUUCCUGAUUAACCUCUCAACAUCUUCAGCAGAACCAGGGAAUAUGAGCUCCUUCACUUCUCUAUCUAACUGCCUUAUCACAUUGUCUUCAGAACCUUUCAAUUUUCAAUAAUUUCCAAACAUAACAAUGAGUUAGUAACACGGAAACCAAAGUCAUUGAGCAAACAUAUUUUUUUAUAUUGAGGUGUUCGUGCCAAAAGUAGACUUUGUCCUCGCAUUGGCUUUGUUCAAGGAUAUAGUUGGUGAUCUGGCGGUCAAUUUUAACAUUGUGUAUCUAUCUUUUAAGCUACUCGUUUAUGUUAAAGUAAGAUAUAAUUAUUUAUAGUGUAUCGUGUUGAAUUGUACUAUUGUACCUGCAAGGAAAUUCCUCUGGUUUUCAUCAGCGUUGAUGCCAAAUCCUAGCAAGCGAAGAUUUGAGGAGGCGUUGAUAGAAAGUGGAUGACCUGCUGGAAUUACCAAAAUGUCACCUUCUGAUAAUCUAGCAUUGUAGCUUCUCACUUCUUCCACUUCUUGCUCAUCUUGUUGUCGUUGUUGAUUUCUUAUACCCACCAGUUCAUAAUUUCCUUCACCUUCAUCAACCACAAUUACAAAUAUGGCCUUUGAGUUAUAGUGUGGCAGCAACAAAGCUCCCUAAGAUAAACAAAACCAAGUCAUUAGUAUUAGUAUUGUUGUCUAAGAUGCAACACUAGUGAAUAAGUAUAAGGAAUUGUGUGUAUGGUUAUUUGCGAUGCGAUAUAUGUAAUAUACCUCACUAAUUUCUGUGAAGAUGAGAGAGAUAUCCAAAUCUUGAACUUGUGGGUUUCUAUCAGGGGUGAUCUCGUAGAAGUUGCCAAACUUAUUUGAAUAUAUGGGUUCAUUGCUUCUCAAGUUGAAGGGACCAGAUUCAGAGGGUUUGCCUUUUCUUGAUGAAGAUUGAGCAUGUUUUCUCAAUUCCUGGAUCUGUUCCUUUGACACUCUCACUAUCACUCCCUCAUCUUGGUGGCUCUGCUCUUGCUCACGCCUUUGUUCCUCAUCUUCUUGCUCGUCCUCAUAUCCUAAAAGAAUCCUUUGUAUCUCUUCAUAAUGGGUCUGUAUAUGAAAUCAUAACAAACAAACACAUGACCACUAUUAUAUAUACUAAAUAAAUAAAUAAGCAAUCAACGUAGAUAAGAUGUGAUACAUUGAAGGUGGCCUCUAAAGUGUUCUUGCUGAAGCCGCUGAAGUAGGAUUGUUGGUCUUUAGUUCUUGAAGGGUAGAAAUCCUAUACAUAUAUAGAGUCAGAGAGAAAGGAUGAAGAAAUUAAAAUUAGACGGUGUUAGAUAUGCAAUAGGUGUGAAAGAAAGUGAGAUGACAUACUAAUAAAAGAUUAUAUGAUAGGAGAAAGAACAUUACAUAAAAUUUGCCGGGAUUGUUGAUGGGUAUUGCGAGUUUGACUACUCUAAGAUCCUGGUUGUCAUCCGGGUUAAGGAUAUAAGAAGUUGUACCAGCUGGGAGUCUGAGAGCAUCACCAUACUCAAGGUUGUAUGCUUGUCUUUUAUCAGGAUUCACUAUUGUGAUGGUGGCUCUACCUAAAAUCCCAAAUAAUGACUAAAAUAAAUAAUUUAUUCUCAUUAAUUAAUCACUUGAAAUGAAUACUAGUAGCAAGUAAGGUUUAAAAUUUAGGUUCGUGACUGCCAUAUAUGUCGAUAUGUCAUGGUUUCGAUAGUCUCCAAAACUAUGAUCUCUAUUUAAAACCUUGAUAAAAAUUACCAUUGAGUACAACGAGGAUGUAGUCAGCAUCAGAGUGUUUGGGGAGAAUUAGAGUGUUCGGUCUGGAUUGGAACUCAACAAUGCGGUAGUUUUGGAGAUUCUCAAGUCUAUUAGUUCUCUGGUCAAACCUCUCGAGCACACGGAUUUGACCGUUCUUAUUCUUGUAACGAGUUUGAAAUCUUUCAGAGCUGAAAUAAUAAGGGUUCCUUAGUCUGUGUGACUCUGAGCUAGAACCUUGCUCUUGCUCUCUCUCUUCCCUCUGCUCCCUCCCCUCAUGGCGUUGUCUCCUCCCAUAAUCACUUUGUCUGCCUGAGCUAGAUCCUUGCUCUUGCUCCCUCUCUUCCCUCUGCUCCCUCUUCUCAUGCCGGUGUCUUCUCUCAUCACCACUCUGCCUACGUGACUCUGAGCUAGAGCCUUGCUCUUGUUCUCUCUCUUCCCUUCUUCUUUGAGGUCGUUGUCUCCUUGCUUGCCCCUCUUCCUCUUCUUCUCCUUUUUCUUCUUCCUCAUGUCUUCUUCCAUACUGAGGUUGUUGUUCUUGCUCCCUCUCCCUGUCAUGUUCUUUCCUUCGUUCACGCUCUUCCUCUUGGCUUUGUUUGCUCUCACUCCUACCACGUGAAGGCUCACGAUCACGCUCCUUCUCUCUCCUAUGCUCUCUUUCUUGUUCCUCCUGCUGGCGAGAACGUGGUGGUUGUCUUGGAUCACGCUCCUCCUCUUGUCUUUCCUCAGGCCUCUCAGGAUUCUUAAUCACAUCUUUCUCUCCAUAAGCAAUACCAAUUG
RNAcentral lists this long non-coding RNA (18252 nucleotides) under Lupinus angustifolius (narrow-leaved blue lupine). RNAcentral describes it as "long non-coding RNA (LANG_LNC001667)". Lineage: Eukaryota; Viridiplantae; Streptophyta; Magnoliopsida; Fabales; Fabaceae. The record is from RNAcentral.